CGGGGUUUAGUGCCGCAGCUAACGCAUUAAGCACUCCGCCUGGGGAGUACGACCGCAAGGUUGAAACUCAAAGGAAUUGACGGGGGCCCGCACAAGCGGUGGAGCAUGUGGUUUAAUUCGAAGCAACGCGAGGAACCUUACCAGGUCUUGACAUCCCUCUGACCGCUCUAGAGAUAGAGUUUUCCUUCGGGACAGAGGUGACAGGUGGUGCAUGGUUGUCGUCAGCUCGUGUCGUGAGAUGUUGGGUUAAGUCCCGCAAUGAGCGCAACCCCUAUUGUUAGUUGCCAUCAUUCAGUUGGGCACUCUAGCGAGACUGCCGGUAAUAAACCGGAGGAAGGUGGGGAUGACGUCAAAUCAUCAUGCCCCUUAUGACCUGGGCUACACACGUGCUACAAUGGCUGGUACAACGAGUCGCAAGCCGGUGACGGCAAGCUAAUCUCUUAAAGCCAGUCUCAGUUCGGAUUGUAGGCUGCAACUCGCCUACAUGAAGUCGGAAUCGCUAGUAAUCGCGGAUCAGCACGCCGCGGUGAAUACGUUCCCGGGCCUUGUACACACCGCCCGUCACACCACGAGAGUUUGUAACACCCGAAGUCGGUGAGGUAACCAUUNGGAGCCAGCCGCCUAA
Molecule: ribosomal RNA, 625 nt
Filed under: uncultured bacterium
Lineage: Bacteria
Description: bacterial SSU rRNA
Rfam family: Bacterial small subunit ribosomal RNA
Source: RNAcentral